This 401-nucleotide long non-coding RNA is filed under the name Rattus norvegicus (Norway rat). Its description in RNAcentral is "long non-coding RNA NONRATT027356". Lineage: Eukaryota; Metazoa; Chordata; Mammalia; Rodentia; Muridae. The record is from RNAcentral.
GUUUCUACCAGGUCCCUCACCUCAGCCUGGCCCAGUAUGUAGAAGGAAAUCUCUGUAGAGGCCAGAGGGGCGCCCCCUUCCCAGAGAGACCAGACCUAGAAGAGAGGAAUCUUCUUCAUCUCCAAGCCUCCCAUCCCAGGACCCUUGGAGACCCAUUGGACAGGCCAGGCAGGGUGGGCACGGAGCCUCCCAGGCCAGGGCAGUGGGCAUGGGCGGGGGCUGCAGCUGAAGAUCACCCCCGCCCACGGCAGAGUACAAGGGAUUCCCACGCUGCAGCUACCAUGGCCACCAAUAAGGAGCGACUCUUUGCGCCCAACGCCCUGGGGCCUGGAUCUGGUUACCCAGGAGCAGGCUUCCCGUUCGCCUUCCCAGGUGCACUCAGAGGGUCACCGCCAUUUGAG